Molecule: ribosomal RNA, 255 nt
Filed under: uncultured bacterium
Lineage: Bacteria
Description: partial 16S ribosomal RNA
Rfam family: Bacterial small subunit ribosomal RNA
Source: RNAcentral
UACGAAGGGGGCUAGCGUUGCUCGGAAUUACUGGGCGUAAAGGGAGCGUAGGCGGACAGUUAAGUCAGUGGUGAAAGCCCAGGGCUCAACCCUGGAAUUGCCUUUGAUACUGACUGUCGUUGAGUAUGGGAGAGGUAUGCGGAACUCCGAGUGUAGAGGUGAAAUUCGUAGAUAGUUCGGAAGAACACCAGUGGCGAAGGCGGCAUACUGGCCCAUUACUGACGCUGAGGUGCGAAAGCGUGGGGAGCAAACAGG